This 605-nucleotide long non-coding RNA is filed under the name Macaca mulatta (Rhesus monkey). Its description in RNAcentral is "lncRNA (ENSMMUG00000063042.1)". Lineage: Eukaryota; Metazoa; Chordata; Mammalia; Primates; Cercopithecidae. The record is from RNAcentral.
GUGUGCCCCCUCCACCCCUCUCCAUAAUUUGGGGGAGAAGGGAGAAAGUCUUCUGUCCUGAGGGUCCUUCUUUCCUCUAUUCUUUUAGAUUUCACAAGACUCAAUCAAAGCAAGAGGAAAUACUUGGUCCUUAGAAAUUCUUUGUCGCCAGUUGCAAGGAAAUUAUGGAGAGACGAAAUCAUUGAGAAUGCAGAGUCUUUAAGCUUCCAAAUUUGUCUUUCAGGAGGUGUAGCCUGAUUGUGGCCCAGGGAGUUUGGCUGUUCUGUGUGGUACGCCUCCACUAUGUGGUCUCCAGUGAGCUGCUCAGCAGGUGUAGACCUGGGCAGGGCAAAGUUCUCUGGGCUGUUGACUGUGAGGCCCCUCCCCACCGGUAGAUUUCCAGGCCUCUUCAGUUUUGCAUUCAGCCACAGCAGAAUGAAGUGGGGUGAGGAGGAUUGAACCGGCACCUCAUUUAUUCAUUCAAUGAAGGUUUAUUGAGCCUCUACGAUGUACCAGGUGCUGUGCUAUGUUCUGGGAUGGUAAAGAACAAGAUCCUUGCCUACAAGGUACUCACUGAAUUAGCAGAAGAAAUCAACAUAUCAACAGGUAAUUAUAAUAUAGUGUUU